Long non-coding RNA from Rhododendron vialii, 633 nucleotides. RefSeq lists it as uncharacterized. The transcript has 2 exons. The record is from RefSeq and is a predicted model, not a curated record. NCBI's taxonomy places the organism in Eukaryota, Viridiplantae, Streptophyta, Magnoliopsida, Ericales, Ericaceae.
CCUCAUAUACACACUCAGAAAUGCAGUAAAUCUUUUCUCUGUUUUUCUUUCUGUCAUUUUUCUUUUUCUCACUUAACUACGGUACAAAAUGUUCAGAGCUCAUAACCAGGGAAUUUAGCAUCUGUCGGUUUAGUCAUGUCUAGGAGAAGAUAAGCCAUACCCCCAAUUCCUUCAAAUAGAGAAUAAGGAUUAUCUCCUCCAUGCAUCUCUCCCUCGGCUAUAAGCUUGGAAGCUCUAUCAACAAGAAAGCAAGCAAAUGCCUUGGCUCUGUACAAGAACUCCUUAUUACCCGUCGCACGGUAAAGUGAGAGGAAGAUGUAUGCAUUUCCACUUACGCCGUGACAAAUGCCAACCCGUCUGAGCAGGCCACGAUUCCAGACCACCUCUGCUGCAUUUACGGCUGCUUCCAGAAACUCUUCGUCACCAAAUACCUUAGCAUCAGAAUUUUUUUAGGGCAAUUGUGAGCAGGACAAGUAAAAGAAGAAUAUUAGAGAAAACACAAGUACAGUUAACCUAAUGUGCAAUUCCUCUACCCAUGAUAAAAAUGUGAUCGUCAUACAUAUUCCUUAUAACGAGUUGGCCUAUUACCACAUAAUGGAGAGGAAGGACUUCUAAUUUAUGGUAGUUCUACAA